Molecule: ribosomal RNA, 902 nt
Filed under: Bacillus licheniformis
Lineage: Bacteria; Bacillati; Bacillota; Bacilli; Caryophanales; Bacillaceae
Description: bacterial SSU rRNA
Rfam family: Bacterial small subunit ribosomal RNA
Source: RNAcentral
AUGCAAGUCGAGCGGACCGACGGGAGCUUGCUCCCUUAGGUCAGCGGCGGACGGGUGAGUAACACGUGGGUAACCUGCCUGUAAGACUGGGAUAACUCCGGGAAACCGGGGCUAAUACCGGAUGCUUGAUUGAACCGCAUGGUUCAAUCAUAAAAGGUGGCUUUUAGCUACCACUUGCAGAUGGACCCGCGGCGCAUUAGCUAGUUGGUGAGGUAACGGCUCACCAAGGCGACGAUGCGUAGCCGACCUGAGAGGGUGAUCGGCCACACUGGGACUGAGACACGGCCCAGACUCCUACGGGAGGCAGCAGUAGGGAAUCUUCCGCAAUGGACGAAAGUCUGACGGAGCAACGCCGCGUGAGUGAUGAAGGUUUUCGGAUCGUAAAACUCUGUUGUUAGGGAAGAACAAGUGCCGUUCGAAUAGGGCGGUACCUUGACGGUACCUAACCAGAAAGCCACGGCUAACUACGUGCCAGCAGCCGCGGUAAUACGUAGGUGGCAAGCGUUGUCCGGAAUUAUUGGGCGUAAAGCGCGCGCAGGCGUUUCUUAAGUCUGAUGUGAAAGCCCCCGGCUCAACCGGGGAGGGUCAUUGGAAACUGGGGAACUUGAGUGCAGAAGAGGAGAGUGGAAUUCCACGUGUAGCGGUGAAAUGCGUAGAGAUGUGGAGGAACACCAGUGGCGAAGGCGACUCUCUGGUCUGUAACUGACGCUGAGGCGCGAAAGCGUGGGGAGCGAACAGGAUUAGAUACCCUGGUAGUCCACGCCGUAAACGAUGAGUGCUAAGUGUUAGAGGGUUUCCGCCCUUUAGUGCUGCAGCAAACGCAUUAAGCACUCCGCCUGGGGAGUACGGUCGCAAGACUGAAACUCAAAGGAAUUGACGGGGGCCCGCACAAGCGGUGGAGC